ACUUGAAUAGCUUAUAAUUAGAGUAUUACAUUGAAGAUGUAGUGGAGAUUUAUAAAAUCUUUAAGUA
Molecule: transfer RNA, 67 nt
Filed under: Melanozosteria nitida
Lineage: Eukaryota; Metazoa; Arthropoda; Insecta; Blattodea; Blattidae
Description: tRNA-Phe
Rfam family: tRNA
About the family: Transfer RNA (tRNA) molecules are approximately 80 nucleotides in length. Their secondary structure includes four short double-helical elements and three loops (D, anti-codon, and T loops).
Source: RNAcentral